AGUCAACAUGCCCAGGGGACGUGGAUAACCUCGGGAAACUGAGGAUAAACCACGAUAGGUCAUAAUAUCUGGAAUGAUUUAUGGCUAAAAUCUACAUGGCCCCUGGAUUGGACUGCGGCCGAUCAGGCUGUUGGUGAGGUAAUGGCCCACCAAACCUAAAACCGGUACGGGCUCUGAGAGGAGAAGCCCGGAGAUGGGCACUGAGACAAGGGCCCAGGCCCUAUGGGGCGCAGCAGGCGCGAAAACUCUGCAAUAAGCGAAAGCUUGACAGGGUUAUUCUGAGUGAUUUCCGCUAAGGAAAUCUUUUAGCACCUCUAAAAAUGGUGCAGAAUAAGGGGUGGGCAAGCCUGGUGUCAGCCGCCGCGGUAAUACCAGCACCCCGAGUGGUCGGGACGAUUAUUGGGCCUAAAGCAUCCGUAGCCGGUUCUACAAGUCUUCCGUUAAAUCCAUCUGCUUAACAGAUGGGCUGCGGAGGAUACUAUGGAGCUAGGAGGCGGGAGAGGCAAGCGGUACUUAGUGGGUAGGGGUAAAAUCCGUUGAUCCACUGAGGACCACCAGUGGCGAAGGCGGCUUGCCAGAACGCGCUCGACGGUGAGGGAUGAAAGCUGGGGGAGCAAACCGG
Molecule: ribosomal RNA, 622 nt
Filed under: uncultured archaeon
Lineage: Archaea
Description: bacterial SSU rRNA
Rfam family: Archaeal small subunit ribosomal RNA
Source: RNAcentral